CGCCCGGGGGCAGGGCUCCGCGGUGAGAGUGGCAGCUAGACUUACCAAGCUGCUACGGGCAGGGCGCCGCAGUGCCGUAGUAGCGGGCAGCCGACACAGGCUGCUUUGGAGCCGCGGAUUCCGGAGCAAGCGGAAGCCCCCAGGGCUGUCGGACCCCAACCGGGCCGCCCGAGCUCCGCGGCGCCGACUCGGGCUGCCAUCCCCCUCCCUGAGAGGGCUGCGCGGGCGGGAAGACGCCCAGACGCCAGCUUCGGUCCCCCUUCUGUCUCUUGGUUCCUCUUUCCUCCCAAGUAAGGGAAUAAGCCCCGAGGAAGGAGCGCUCCGGGAACCGCGCAACCAAGUGUUGCCUGGUGAGGAAGAGCAAGGAUUUCUGAAUUUACCUUGACUAUAGGUAGAAGGAUGUUGCCUGAGGAAUAGCAGAGGUCUUCCCUCAUCGGCUGAGAGGUGCCUGCUGCUGCCAUAGACACUUGGGUCCUGGAGACGUCUCCUGGAGGGCCCGUCCAUCGCAUACCUGCAAUGAGCCAGACCCUGGGCUGGGCCUCAGCUUCACCCUGGUGAACAAAACUCUGUCCCUGGCCUCAAGUGCUCACACCCAGCUUAAAGAUGAGUGAAGAACGCUGGGUCUCCCUCACCCCAGAAGAAUUUAACCAACUCCAGAAAUAUUCAGAAUAUUCUUCCAAGAAGAUAAAGGAUGUCUUGGCUGAAUUUAAUGAGGGUGGGAGCCUCAAACAAUAUGACCCACAUGAGCCAGUUGGCUAUGAGGUCUUCAAGCUGUUCAUGAGGGCAUACCUGGAGGUGGACCUGCCUCAGCCACUGAGCACGCACCUCUUCCUGGCCUUCAGCCAGAAGCCCAGACAAGAGAUCCCUGACCACCCAAAGGAGGAGACCAGCAACAGCGAGGCCAGUGGCCCAGAGUCCAGCAUUCAGAAUGCGGAUAAUGCUGCCAAAGCAGAUGAGGCCUGUGCCCCUGAUACCGAAUCAAAAAUCACUGAGAAGCAGGUGCCAGCUAAAGACCAAGUGGCUGCAACCCCUCUGGGAAACCCUGUUGCUCAAUCUUCAGGCUCAGAAUCCCCCAUAGUGUACCUGAAGGAUGUUGUAUGUUACCUGUCCCUGCUGGAGACGGGGAGACCUCAGGAUAAGCUAGAGUUUAUGUUUCGUCUCUAUGACUCGGAUGAGAACGGUCUCCUGGACCAAGCGGAGAUGGAUCGUAUUGUUAACCAAAUGCUGCACAUUGCCCAGUAUCUCGAGUGGGAUCCUACGGAGCUAAGGCCUAUAUUGAAGGAGAUGUUGCAAGGGAUGGACUACGACCGGGACGGCUUUGUGUCUCUACAGGAAUGGGUCCACGGAGGGAUGACCACCAUCCCAUUGCUGGUCCUCCUGGGCAUGGACGACUCUGGCUCCAAGGGGGAUGGGAGGCACGCCUGGACCAUGAAACACUUCAAGAAACCCACCUACUGCAACUUCUGCCACAUCAUGCUGAUGGGCGUUCGGAAGCAAGGCCUGUGCUGCAUUUACUGUAAAUACACUGUCCAUGAACGCUGUGUAUCCAAAAACAUUCCUGGAUGUGUCAAAACGAACUCAAAAACCAAAAGGAGUGGUGAGGUGAUGCAGCACGCGUGGGUGGAAGGGAACUCCUCCGUCAAGUGUGACCGGUGCCACAAAAGUAUCAAGUGCUACCAGAGUGUCACCGCGCGGCACUGCGUGUGGUGUCGGAUGACGUUUCACCGCAAAUGCGAAUUAUCAACGCUGUGUGAUGGUGGGGAACUCAGAGACCAUAUUUUGCUGCCCACCUCGAUAUGCCCCGUUACCCGGGACAGGCAAGGUGGGAAGUCUGAUGGCAGUGUGUCAGCCAAGGGUGAACUUGUGAUGCAGUAUAAGAUCAUCCCCACCCCGGGUACCCACCCCCUGCUGGUCUUGGUGAACCCCAAGAGUGGAGGGAGACAAGGAGAAAGAAUUCUUCGGAAAUUCCACUAUCUGCUCAACCCCAAACAAGUUUUCAACCUGGACAAUGGGGGGCCUACUCCAGGACUGAACUUUUUCCGUGAUACUCCAGACUUCCGUGUUUUGGCCUGUGGAGGCGAUGGGACAGUUGGCUGGAUUUUGGAUUGCAUUGAUAAGGCCAACUGUGCAAAGCAUCCACCAGUGGCUGUCCUGCCUCUUGGAACAGGAAAUGACCUGGCCCGCUGUCUCCGCUGGGGAGGAGGUUAUGAAGGGGGCAGCCUGACGAAAAUCCUGAAGGAAAUCGAGCAGAGCCCCUUGGUGAUGCUGGACCGCUGGCACCUGGAAGUCAUCCCUAGAGAGGAGGUGGAGAACGGGGACCAGGUCCCAUACAACAUCAUGAACAACUAUUUCUCCAUUGGCGUGGAUGCUUCCAUUGCACACAGAUUCCACAUGAUGAGAGAGAAACACCCAGAAAAAUUCAACAGCAGGAUGAAGAACAAGCUGUGGUACUUUGAAUUUGGCACCUCGGAGACCUUUGCAGCCACCUGCAAGAAACUCCACGACCACAUAGAGUUGGAGUGUGACGGCGUUGGGGUAGACCUGAGCAACAUCUUCCUCGAAGGUAUUGCCAUUCUCAACAUUCCCAGCAUGUACGGUGGCACCAAUCUCUGGGGAGAAACCAAGAAGAACCGGGCUGUGAUUCGGGAAAGCAGGAAGGUCGUCACGGAUCCCAAGGAACUGAAAUUCUGCAUCCAAGACCUCAGUGACCAGCUACUUGAAGUGGUGGGGCUCGAAGGAGCCAUGGAGAUGGGGCAGAUCUACACUGGCCUGAAGAGUGCGGGCAAGAGGCUGGCCCAGUGCUCUUCUGUCACUAUCAGGACGAACAAGCUGCUGCCGAUGCAAGUGGAUGGAGAGCCCUGGAUGCAGCCACCAUGCACGAUUAAAAUUACUCACAAGAACCAAGCGCCCAUGAUGAUGGGACCUCCCCAGAAGAGCAGCUUCUUUUCACUGAGGAGGAAGAGCCGUUCAAAAGACUAAACAAUGUGCCAAACACCAGUUAAACCAAGAGAUAAAACAAGAAACUGUAAUACACACACACACACACACACACACCCCUCUCUAACCAUUGGAAGCAAAGCCACCCUUUAGGAAGAAUCCUUCACCCUGACAUACAUUCUAUUUAUUUCAACAGUGGACACAACCCACCAGAGCCAGUGCCAACAGAACAUUUUGAAUGGACUUAGGGCCCACCAGGGUGAGGCUGGCUCAUGCAGCAACCUCCACAUUCCCAGCCUUGAGUGGGACUUUCUGAGACUGAAAGAGAAAUCCCCCUUUCUUCCCACCAGUGCUGCAAGUUUCCUCAUGAACAUUCGCAAGGAGCAGGCUGCAGGUUUCCUGCCUAUGGUGAGAUCGGAUGUGGCCAAGGAAAAGAACUCCUGUUCCAGAGAACUUGCACAAAGGUCCCUCUGUACAGAGACAAAACAGCCUCCGACUCUCAGAGCAACUCCCUUGGCAGGGCUCAGCAAGCGCACGUUGGUUUCUUGGUUGUCCUUCGAGUGACAAUUUCUCCCUGAACUCGCUGAGGAGGCAGAAAGGCUGUGGAAAGCUGUGUUUCCAUUCUUGGUUCUCUGCGCUGUCAGUGGGCACUUGUUAUUUUUCCCAAAGCCUUCUCCCAGUGGCUGUGUGUUUGUUUAGAGACGGCUCCAGGAGGGCCCAGCGCUGCCUGCACAGCACACCUUAGAUGUGGUAUUUAUUUUCUUAGUUCUGUGAACACCUGGGAGGGAAAGCAGAGAAACUGGGAUUUAUUUUUCAAAUUGGUGUCAUAAUAUUGUGUAAAAAGGGAAGAAAAAAAAAAACACCCCCAGCUUCUUUCUUUUUCAAGCCAAAGCGUGUUUCCUGUUUGAGUUCCAAGCCCUGGUGGCAGACUAUUCCUGAAGGCAGAGAAGAUGGGAGGGAAGGGCCUUUUGCUAAAGAGCCCAGGAGGCAAACCAUCAGGUGGUUCCCUCCUGCCUCUCUGCACGUACCACUCCCAGAGUAGACCUGAAUGCCCUUCUGAUGGUCUCAAGUGUGUGUACAUAUAUAUAGCAUAUAUAUUUAUAUAUAUAUAAAUAUUUAUUUACUGAUGGACUUUUCCUGAUUGAAAAAAAAUUAUGUAGUAUAGGAACAGAAAUUGAGAAAGAAAGAGAAGGUUCUUACUCCCAAUUCCACCAUUUCAUUGCCAAGAUACAUUUCCCCAUGGCAAUCAUGAGAUUUAAGGGAAAUGAAAGUAGCUUCUUCUCAUAAAGAGACUGAGAAUUUCUAUUCUGGAUUCUCAAAAAAACCAUGAAAGAUAUGCUGGGCAGGAUUUACUCUCCCAUUUGUCAGAUAAGGAAACUUAUCUUGGAAAAGCUAAGAGACCUGUUCAUGGUAUCUUGGCUAAUGUGGUUUGGGAAUAAGUGCCACUAAGAUAUUUAAUAGAGAAAAGAAUCCAUUCAUCUUGGAAUAGGGGCAUUUCCGGUCACUGAGAAAUGUUUCCAUUUGGAUCCAGUUGCCAGGGAAGAAUGAAUGUGCAGCACAUAUGUGAUUGGGACAGGCCCACAUGAGAAAACGGAGGCCUCGUGAUGCUUCCUAGAGAUUUUCUCUGGCCUGAACUGGUGAGAAGUUGGUCUGGGGUUGAAGGCACUAGACAGAUCAUUAAAUUAAACUCUCCCCAUGUCAACUCAUCAUGGCCAUCAUAGUCUCUUUGUCUGGAAACACCUUUGGCUGCAGGGAUGACCUCAAUGGAGAGUUACAAGGAGGACUAAGGCCCCUUCUACGAGGUGCUGCCAGCCCGUAUCCAGAGGGGUCUCGGCAGAGCUCAAUGGGCUUCAUUCAGCUGGUGCCAACAUUACCCUCCUUUCCCAAAGGCAAGACUGUGUAGGGCUUCAUUGGUAGAAAGAAACAUUUGCCUCAGCACCUUUGCUCCCUCAGGCCUCCAUCCUCUCUGAGAUUUCUCAAGAGGAAACCUGGGCCCACUCAACAUCACUCCACUGAGCUCCCCCUGAUCUUGUACUGGGUCAUCAGGAGCUUUGCACAAAGAAGGAAAAAUUAAGAUUGUGUAUGCAUAUUGAUCCUAACUCUGAAGGAAGCAGUCACCUAGGACGUUUAGGACGGAGAUCUAGGACCAUCCUACUCAACCGAACUGUGCAGAACACUGGGCAAGGGGAAAGCCAGGCCACCUGAAGAAUGUCCUGAAUGACGGGAUCCUUGGCAAUGGGACCAACAAGCUCCAGAAUGGCGACAGGUACUGUCUUGGAAGCCACUUGAUUCUGAAAUGAACGCAGGUUCAGCUUUGGGGUCACUGAUCCCAAGACAUUUACAGAAGUUUUUGCCUGUGUUUCAGCCCUGAUCCCCAAGAUUGAGGCUGUUGAGACAUGGCACUAUCAACAGGUGAAACUGGAUCUCAGAGAUUCACAAGUCAGAGACUGGCCCCUGCCUGCUCUGCUCUAGCGCAUAGGACUUGCGGUGUUGCUUGAGAGACAUGUGCCAAGUCUUCCUUAGAGCCACAGAGUGUAACAAACUUCGGUGAAAUUGCACUUCCAAUUUGGUAACCUCAAUGGAAAGAAGCAAGAGACCCAACUAAAGAGAAUAGGGUCCUACAGAAAGUUGCUGACCCAGUUUCUAGCACAGCUACCCUCUUCCAUAGAACGAGAAGUAACCAUUUGUGCCUCUCUGUAUCAUCAUCCUCAAUGCUCGAAAACAAGUGAGACCUUUCUAUCUUGGAAAAGUCUGGCAAAUGUUCCAGAGAAGCUGCUGUGGAAGGGAACUGUUCCAUGUCCCAUGAUGGUGUGAGGGAUGAAACCCUGCCUGGGAGACAAGGGCAACACACGGAGUGGCCUACAGUCCUGUCUCAGCUACGCGGCCUUGGACAUGGCCUUCAGCCUUCUGGGGCCACUCUUUCUCCAUCUAUCAAACAAGGGGGCUCCAAAGACUUUCACUCUUCAACAAUCUUGCCUUCACCUGGGAUAGAUGCUAUGGCCAUAGGAGAGAGGGCAAGGUCCUUGUUCUUGUGGAUCUUCCACCAGGCCCAAGCCUUGCCCCAGCACUGCUGACCCUGGAGGGCUACUCCCAGCCCCUCAGCCAAGAAUCUACCUUCCUUCCCUCUUGAGGAUUGAUCAGGCUCAGAAAUCAUCUGAUGUGGGGGGCCAACAUGAAAAAAACACUACAAGGAAACUCUUGGAUAAGCCUUCCACCUACACACACACAUAUACACACACACACAUACUCAAUCCAUGAAGUGCGAGCAUUUUCCCUUCUGUGUAUCAAACCCACUUUACCCUUUCUCACUGCCAGCGUGUUAGGAGAGAAUUCAGUUCUACCUAUGGAAAAGCACUGCUUCCUCUUAGGGAACUUAGCUAAACCUCAGGGUUCGGGGGUGAGGCUAAAGGUCCUAACACACUUCAACUGUGGCCCAUUAAUGCAGAUCACCAGCCGAGACUGAGGCAGGAACUAGUUAGCACAGUGCCAGGGUCUAGAUCCUUCCCCUGCUCCUCCACCCCCACUGCCUCCCCGCCUCUAGAUCUGUUGUUCUUUAAUGGGGGCUGCCUGCUCAAGCCUGCCUGUCUGCCUGCACAGAGUGCUGUGGAUUUGUUCUGUAAUGUACCGUGUGUAUGUAUGUCCUGAUUCUGGUUUACUGCAAAUAAAAAUGACAGCAAAUGGCUGACUUCUGACCUCCUAA
Equus caballus (horse) is the source of this 6637-nucleotide non-coding RNA. NCBI's taxonomy places the organism in Eukaryota, Metazoa, Chordata, Mammalia, Perissodactyla, Equidae. The record is from RefSeq and is a predicted model, not a curated record.